Molecule: unclassified non-coding RNA, 157 nt
Filed under: uncultured Clonostachys
Lineage: Eukaryota; Fungi; Ascomycota; Sordariomycetes; Hypocreales; Bionectriaceae
Description: sequence contains ITS1
Source: RNAcentral
CCGAGUUUACAACUCCCAAACCCAUGUGAAUCUUACCUUUUCGUUGCUUCGGCGGGAUCGCCCCGGGCGCCAUCGCGUGCCCCGGACCUAGGCGCCCGCCGGGGGACCUAAACUCUUGUAUUAAUUUGUUUCUCUGAGUGGAUUACACAAAUAAUCA